Cladorrhinum samala is the source of this 85-nucleotide non-coding RNA. The record is from the annotation of a GenBank genome assembly. NCBI's taxonomy places the organism in Eukaryota, Fungi, Ascomycota, Sordariomycetes, Sordariales, Podosporaceae.
GGUCCGCUGGCGUAAUGGCAGCGCGUCUGACUACGAUGAUUUCAAAGUAAUCAGGAGGUUCCAGGUUCGACCCCUGGGCGGAUCG